AAAACACUCUCCUCCCUAAUGCGGGUGGCUCUCCUCCAAUCAUUAGUUGAGGGUUUGAACAGAACAAAAAGGCAGACUCUCCUGUGAUUAAGAGAGAAUUCUUCCCAUUUGACUCCUUGAGCUGGGACAUCACUAUUUUCCUGCUUUUGGAUUCCAACUGAAGCACCAGCUUUUCUUGGGUUGCAAGCCUUCUGGCUUUCAUACUGAAACUACAUCAUCAACUCUCUUAAGUCUCCAGCUUGCCAACUGAAGAUCUUCAGACUUCUCAGCCUCCAUAAUUGUGCAAGUUCUCCGUGAAUUACAGCAAACAUGGCUCUAAGAGUGGCUGACUGCGUGCAGCUGUGAACACCCACCAUGUUAGUAAGGAAGAGUCCCUGCAUCCAUAGCCAACUCUGGUAAAGUUCUCUGGAGCCAAAUCAAGCUAUUAUUCUUCAAGUGGUUUGAAGCAUGUUUUGGAUUCCAGCAAGAUUAAACAGAAAUGCCCCGACCAAGCUACGUUGGAAGCCUGUUUCAGCCUGAACAUGUUAAGUCCAGUCCUCAGCAAGGUGCACAGUCUCACCCAGCUCAACUUGUUUCCUUUUUCAUUAAAAAAUAUUCAUUUAGCUGAACCUGGUCUUCACUGUAGCAUGCCGGAUCUUUGGUCUUCACUGUGGCAUGGGGAAUCUUUAGCUGGGGCAUGCAAACUCUUAGAUGUGGCAAAGAGAAUCCAGUUCGCUGACCAGGGACCAAAUUCAGGCCCCCAGCAUUGGGAGCUCAGACUCUUAGCCACUGGACCCCUAGGGAAGUUCCCUCAGCUUUUUUCUUGUUAAGUCUCCUACCCACUUUCUUCUCAGCACCCAUCACAGUAUCACACAUAAGGUAGGUGUUCAGUAUAAUUUAAAGAUGGUAACAGCUCUCAAAUUAGCAAGGCCUUUAGCUCAAAGUGAAGUCUUCUGCAUUCUUUUUGUCUGCUGUUUGUUCGGUGUGACAAUGUAAAUGUUUUGCCUUGCUCAAUGCACUCCUGAUGUUUUGGAGAUGUGGUAUAUUAGUUAUAUUAGCCUGAGUUUGUUUUGUGGUAGUACCACAUCCCCUUUUGGCACGUAUGACAGAGAGGCAGCCUUAGCCAGUGUCAUACUUUCUUCUCUUACUAAAGACAUAGAUUAUGCUUAUGUAACUCUUGCACCAGUCCAUCCUAAAAGAAAUCAGUCCUGAAUGUUCAUUGGAAGGACUGAUGUUGAAGCUGAAACUCCAAUACUUUGGCCACUUGAUGCAAAGAGCUGACUCGUUUGAAAAGAUCCUGAUGCUGGGAAAGAUUGAAGGUGAGAGGAGAAGGGAACGACAGAGGAUGAGAUGGUUGGAUGGCAUCACCGACUCAAUGAAUAUGAGUUUGAGUAAACUCCAGAAGUUGGUGAUGGACAGGGAGGCCUAGUGUGCUGCAGUCCGUGGGGUUGCAAAGAGUUGGACAUGACUGAGCAACUGAACUGAACUGAACUGAACUCUUGCAU
Bos taurus (domestic cattle) is the source of this 1484-nucleotide long non-coding RNA. The record is from Ensembl. Lineage: Eukaryota; Metazoa; Chordata; Mammalia; Artiodactyla; Bovidae.